UUACACAUCCAUGUACUGAAUAAGAAAGGGAUAAAGAGUUGUCUUACAAUCGCCACUUCACACAAUACAUAAAUAUAGCAUUACAUCAUCCAGAAUACAAUCAAGGUCCGACUACGGAAGCAAAUAAAGAAAGACAACCCCUAAUGCAUUGAUCCUCGAUCGUCCCGACUGGGUUCCACUACUGAUCUUCAUCGAGCUCCCACUUGAGCUGGGUUGCGUCACCUGCACUGGUAUCGUCGGCACCUGCAACUGUUUGGAAGUAAUCUGUGAGUCAUGGUGACUCGGCAAUCUCACACCCGCGAGAUCAAGACUAUUUAAGCUUAUGGGUAGGAAAACGUAGUGAGGUGGAGCUGCAGCAAGCACUAGCAUAUAUGGUGGCUAACAUACGCAAAUGAGAGCGAGAAGAGAAGCAAAGCACGGUCGAGAAACUAAAAGUGGUCAAGAAGUGCUCCUGAAACUUCUUACGUUCAAGCAUAACACAAGAUCGUGCUCUCUUGCCGGACUCCGCCGGAAAGAGACCAUCACGGCUACACACGUGGUUGAUGCAUUUUAAUUAAGUUAAGUGUCAAGUUUUCUACAACCAGAUAUUAACAAAUUCCCAUCUGCCCAUAACCGCGGGCACGGCUUUCGAAAGCUCAAAACCCUGCAGGGGUGUCCCAACUUAGCCCAUCAAAAGCUCUCACGGUCAGCUAAGGACAUUCCUUCUCCAAGGAACACCCGAUCAGACUCGGAAUCCCAGUUACAAGACAUUUCGACAAUGGUAAAAGAAGACCAACAAAGCCGCCUGAAUGUGCUGACAAAUCCCGAUAGGAGCUGCACAUAUCUCGUUCUCAGGGCACACCGGAUUGUCCAAACUUCUGGUAGGCCAACCCGGAGUUGCCCCUGGUGGCCACCGGCGGCUGACAGGUUGGACCAACACUCAGAGGAGAACUGGCCUGGGGGUUUAAAAUAAAGAUGAACCUUGAGUCUACAGAACCCAAGGGAAAAAGGCUUAGGUGGCAAAUGGUAAAACCAAGGUUGGGCCUUGCUUGAGGAGUUUUAUUCAAGGCGAACUGUCAAGGGGUUCCCAUUAUAACCCAACCACGUAAGGAACGAAGAAUCAAGGAACAUAACACCGGUAUGACGUAAACUAGGGUGGCAAGAGUGGAACAAAACACCAGGCAUAAGGCCAAGCCUUCCACCCUUUACCAAGUAUAUAGAUGCAUUAAAGUAAGUAAGAGAUAAAUAAUGAUAUCCCAACAAUACCCAUCUUCCAACAUGGAACAACCUUCAUCUUCACCUGCAACUAACAAUGCUAUAAGAGGGGCUGAGCAAAGUGGUAACAUAGCCAAACAACGGUUUGCUAGGACAAGGUGGGUUAGAGGCUGGACAUGGCAACAUGGGAGGCAUGAUAUAGCAAGUGGUAGGUAUCGCAGCAUAGCAAAAGAGCGAGCAACUAGCAAGCAAAGAUAGAAGUGAUUACGAGGGUAUGGUCAUCUUUCCUGAGAUCCUGCAAGGAAGAAGAACGAGUCCACGAAGAAGACAAACGGACAUAGUCGAAUGAAUCCUCACAACGCGACGUUAUCGGAACUAACCCGAAGAAGCAACACCGGAAAGAAGGAAACAACAUAGUAAACAACCAUCACAUAAUCAUGGCAUGAUGCACAACCAAGUAUGACGCAUGUCCGGUUUAAAUAUGCAUGGCAUGGCAUGACAAAGUGCAACAAACAACACUACAAAUUAAGUGGAACUCAAUAUGCAACGAGUUGCAUAUUGACGGAACACCACAUUCAAGUUAUUUAGUUCGAUCUCGUUUAUGUACCCAACAGUAUUAAAUGUUGAUUAACAUGGCAAGAGGUGAAGCAUAAUAAAAGUACCUAUCUAGGCAAGUUUAAAUGAGGCCGGAAGUAACAAACAACAAGUCCGGUAAAUCCCCACAUGUAAUAUUUGAAUUAGGUACUGUUCUGCCCUAAACCAAAUUUUAGAGUUGUUAAACAUGCAAAGUAAAGCCAUCAUGAUAAACUAGGCAUUUUUCUACCCCAUUUACAUAUAAAGUUUAUUUAAAAUGGAGCUACGGUUAUUAAGUUAUGAAUUAAGGCAUUUUAACAUGGCAUAUGGACAAAAUUACACAAACAGCAUUUUAAACAUUUGAAACAUAGAUGAAAGUUGGAUAUUAUUAAACUAGACAAAAUUCUAGACAUUUUACAUCUUAAGUUUGUUUUAAUCGGAUGCAAGGUUAAUUAGUUAGGAUAUGCAUGAAGUGCAAGGGUGUUUCUGCAAAACUGGCAAAUCUCAGGAAAAAAAUAGAAAAAUCGUCCUGGCAAGAAAAAAACAUAACGGGCUGAAACUGGGGGCGGACUGGGCUGCAGAAGCAGUGCACAGGGUGAUGGGCUGCCAGGAGCUGCUCACCAAAGGCACUAGGCCGGCUCGGUGAUGGGCUGGUCGAGCUGGGCCAGAUGCGGAUGGCUGAGGCCCAUGCGCGUGGAGGAGGCCGACCCUGCUCGGCUGGGUUGACGACACGGUCAACGGAAGUGAGUGCUCGAGCGCUCGUUUCCUGCUCGAUGCAGAGAGCUGUGGGAGGCUCCUGGAGUUGGAGGGAAGUGGCGGCACGCACAGGAGGUCGGGGAUGGAUGGGUCCAUGGUGGAGGCGGCGAGAUCCGAGGCGGGGUCGCAGUUCCCGGCGAGGAACAUGACCGAUGGCGGGCUGCUCCUGCUUCUUUUCAAAGAGAAAGGAGGGAGAGCAGGGGAGGUUAGAGCAGCUAAAAGGGAGACCAAGAAUGGGGGGUGAGUGGUGGCAGGGUCUCACCGGUGAGGAGUGCCGGCUACCAGCGGGCAAGGCAGCAGAGCAGCAGCUGCAGAAAACGGCGACGGGGCCGGAGGGCGGGUCCGUCCAGGAACAGGGCGGAGGCGAGCUGGGCCUCGAGGUGAUGUAGGCCAUGGUGACGACGUGGUCCUGUCGACGAAUGGAGAGAGAGCAAGCUAAGACAUUAAGGGAAGGAGAGAUAAGCGGAGCAGGAGGGAAGGAAGGGACGCGAGACAGGGACCUACUGGUCCGGCGGCUCUGCUCGGAGUGGUGGCCAUCGGCGUGGGAGGCUAGCGAGGCAGGGGGAGUAGUGGCCUGCACGAGGGAGCGAGAGGUUCGUUGGGGGUCUCUGCUCGCGGAAAACUGGGAGCGAUGCUGCGGUGGCGACCGUGGUGGUGCCAGAUCCGGUCAUGGGAGGUCGCCGGGGUCCCGUUCCCUGCCGGAUCGAAGCGGAGGCGAGCCGGGCGGACUUGGAGCCCCAUGGCGCGGGGUGAGGUGCACUGCUGCGCUGGCAACCGAUGGGAGCUGCUCGUGAUCCUCUCGGGAUCGAGCAGAGGAGCCGUCGGUGGAUGGAGGGGGCUGGAUUGAUGGAGCGCACUGGUUGGGUGAGAAGCGGAUCUGGGAGGAUCCCGAGGAAGAUGUAGUGGACUAGUGGCGGCGGAGGGAUUCGGAGGAUGGGACAGUUCUCCUCAAAAUUAGGGUUUGGACAGAUAUUUAUAGUAGGUGGUCAAAGGUGUGACUAUCUGGUCCCUCCGAUUAUAAUCGGAUGAUCCGAGAUAAAAAGGUUAGGUAGCCCAAAUAAUACGUCGAUGAUGUUUUAGGGAUGUUAGGGGAUGAUCCGGAACCAUCGGUGACGACUGCCCGGUCGGGUUCGGGGAAGUUUUGGACGCGCGUGAGGGGGUUCUCAGAACUAAGUAAAGAGGAGGUCUGACAAAAGGCCACGGAGGCAAGGGGGGUUUGAUGGGCUCAGAAAAAGAGAGAAGAGAAGGAGAGGCCCGUCAACUGUUUCCGGAGACCGAAAACGUCCAACAUUAGACCGGCUAUAAUGCCGCUAUAGUUUAAUGGUUGGGCUAUCAAACGAACUCCGAAUGCGAUGAAACGUGCCAGACGGCCUACCUACAACAUAACAACACCGCAUGCCAACUUUCAACCCAUUCCGAGAACAUUUUCUUGCCACUUAUAAAAUACUAUUUCGGACGUGCCACGGGCGCGUGCGAGUGUGUCUGGGCUCAGAACGGACAACGGAAGGAAACUGAGAGACCCGGACGGAUGCAAGUUUUGAAAACAUGCAGAUGCAAUGCGGAUGAUGACAUGGCAAGAUGCUACACGCAAGCAAAUGACAAGGCAACAACAACGAAUAACUGGAAGACACCUAGCGCGUCGGUCUCGGGGCGUCACAACACUCCACCACUAUGAAAGGAUCUCGUCCCGAGAUCUAGGACGACACCGGAGAAAAGCGGAAGAGGAAGAGGUAAAACAAAGUUGCUUCUUUGACAAACAAGUGAAACCAAAGAACCUUGAGAGGUAAAACUGUUUCGAGAAAAGAAUACAACGGAGAUGAUCGAAAUUGAAAACACUCCAUUAGAAAAGAGGAACAAGGAAGAACAAAUUCGGACAGCACUCCGGUUGAAAAGAAAUGCAAGACUUGAUAAGUUGAAAAGAACUUGAGCAGAGGACACAACACUCCGGUUAAAUGGAUAAGCAUGAAAAGAACACGAUCUUCACAAUUCGAGAUGAUGAGUGAAGAGAGCAACAUCACAAUGUCUCCGGAACAAAUGUAAGAAUGGAAUCAAAAGAACGGAGGAGAAGACCACAUCUUCUACCUCAAAUGAGCUUGGAAAAGCAUCUUUAGGAGAAGGGUCGAACGGAGUUAUUGGAAAUCCAACAACGAAAAGAGUAAGCUUGUAGUGGCCUUAUGGAAAACAUCUAGAAAACUUGAGGUGAAAUUCUACCACUAAUGAAAAACAAUGGAUUUGGAUUGAUAUGAACAAGGAGACGAGAAACUAUUUCACCGGGAGGAUAAAUGAAGAACUUGGGUCAUUUAUAAGCACCAUAAUAGCAAAAAUCCUUAAGGAAAGCUUUAGGUGAAAUAUAACCCAAGAUAAUUCCAAUGAAGAGGUUGAUUGGUUGAAAAGAUGUCUUGAGCAAAGAGAAAAUGAUGGAUUUAGAUAUAUCACUCUUGAAAACUUGUCAAUCAUGAAACACGAAGGGAAAUUAUCAACAAUGACAUAACACCACCUCAAAUGAUAAGGUAGAAAGAAUUGCACUUCAGAAUGCAAGAUGAAGAAUGCUUGAACUCCUCUGAACAAGACAUGUGUUGAACACCAUGUUUAAUUUUGAGUAUAGGUUGGCAGAUCUUAACUUCGAGAGAAAUCUUGAAGAACAAUUGAAGAGUGAAAAUAAUCCUUGACGAACCACCAUGUAGCCUCCAUGAAGAACUCCCGUAACAAAAGGAUGAUCAAACAAAAGGAAAGAGAAAUUGAAAACACAAGGUGAAGCCUUGCGAUGAUUUAAAUGGAGCUGCGUGGUGACAUACUUGAGAGAUCUUGGAACUCCGGGAAAAGAAAAGAUGAAACAAUUGAAACCGGGAAUUUUGAUGAACCUCCGGAAUAAGGAAUUGUCUUCACUUGAUGAAACAAGAAUAAGAAUUAUAUAAUGCUUAUCCUUCACCAAUUAAAUUGAUGACAAGCAAUUGAUUUGGCAUACUACUUAUUCUCGUUGAAAGGAUUAAGAUAAAUAUGGCACAAACUUGGUAAGGUCUUCAACGAACCACCGGUAGGAUUGGAAAGAACGAAUGAAUUGAUAUGAUGACAUAUGAAGAGGAAUCUUGAAUAAACUGCCGUAAGAAUUGAAAAAUGAAUGUAGCAAAGGCACAAAUCACCAGGAAGAAACACUGUUGAACGAUUGCUUAUGAAGAUAUAAUGCACUAGUUGAUUUAAAGAAAGACAACCCCUAAUGCAUAGAUCCCCGAUUGUCCCGACUGGGCUCCACUACUGAUCAACUGGAAACGAAACAACACAACGAACACGAUCUUCAUCGAGCUCCCACUUGAGUUGGGUUGCGUCACCUGCACUGGUAUCGUCGGCACCUGCAACUAUUUGGAAGUAAUCUGUGAGUCACGGGGACUCAGCAAAUUCACACCCGCGAGAUCAAGACUAUUUAAGCUUAUGGGUAGGAAAAGGUAGUGAGGUGGAGUUGCAGCAAGCACUAGCAUAUAUGGUGGCUAACAUACGCAAAUGAGAGCGGGAAGAGAAGGAAAGCAUGGUCGAGAAACUAAAAGUGAUCAAGAAGUGAUCCUGAAACUUCUUACGUUCAAGCAUAACACAAGACCGUGUUCUCUUCCCAGACUCCGUCGGAAAGAGACCAUCACGGCUACACACACGGUCGAUGCAUUUUAAUUAAGUUAAGUGUCAAGUUUUCUACAACCAUAUAUUAACAAAUUCCCAUCUGCCCAUAACCACGGGCACGACUUUCGAAAGAUCAAAACCCUGCAGGGGUGUCCCAACUUAGCCCAUCACAAGCUCUCACGGUCAACAAAGGAUAUUCCUUCUCCCAGGAAGACCCGACCAGACUCGGAAUCCCGGUUACAAGACAUUUCGACGAUGGUAAAACAAGACCAGCAAAGCCGCCCGAAUGUGCCGACAAAUCCCGAUAGGAGUUGCACAUAUCUCGUUCUCAGGCCACACUGGAUUGUCCAAACUUCCGGUAGGCCAACCCAGAGUUGCCCCUGGUGGCCACCGGCGGCUGACAGGUUGGACCAACACUCAGAGGAGCACCGGCCUGGGGGUUUAAAAUAAAGAUGACCCUUGAGUCUGCAGAACCCAAGGGAAAAAGGCUUAGGUGGCAAAUGGUAAUACCAAGGUUGGGCCUUGCUUGAGGAGUUUUAUUUAAGGCGAACUGUCAAGGGGUUCCCAUUAUAACCCAACCGCGUAAGGAACGCAAAAUCAAGGAACAUAACACCGGUAUGACGGAAACUAGGGCGGCAAGAGUGGAACAAAACACCAGGCAUAAGGCCGAGCCUUCCACCCUUUACCAAGUAUAUAGAUGCAUUAAAGUAAGUAAGAGAUAAAUAAUGAUAUCCCAACAAUAUCCAUGUUCCGACAUGGAACAACCUUCAUCUUCACCUGCAACUAACAACUCUAUAAGAGGGGCUGAGCAAAGCGGUAACAUAGCCAAACAACGGUUUUCUAGGACAAGGUGGGUUAGAGGUUGGACAUGGCAACAUGGGAGGCAUGAUAUAGCAAGUGGUAGGUAUCGCAGCAUAGAAAAAGAGCGAGCAACUAGCAAGCAAAGAUCGAAGUGAUUUCGAGGGUAUGGUCAUCUUGCCUGAGAUCCCGCAAGGAAGAAGAAUGAGUCCAUGAAGAAGGCAAACAUACGUAGUCGAACGAAUCCUCACAACGCGACAUUAUCAGAACUAACCUGAAGAAGCAACACCGGAAAGAAGCAAACAACAUAGUAAACAACCAUCACAUAAUCAUGGCAUGAUGCACAACCAAGUAUGAUGCAUGUCCGGUUUAAAUAUGCAUGGCAUGGCAUGG
This 7320-nucleotide long non-coding RNA is filed under the name Triticum aestivum (bread wheat). Its description in RNAcentral is "long non-coding RNA (TAES_LNC020804)". The record is from RNAcentral. Lineage: Eukaryota; Viridiplantae; Streptophyta; Magnoliopsida; Poales; Poaceae.